Long non-coding RNA from Vicia villosa (hairy vetch), 581 nucleotides. RefSeq lists it as uncharacterized. The record is from RefSeq and is a predicted model, not a curated record. NCBI's taxonomy places the organism in Eukaryota, Viridiplantae, Streptophyta, Magnoliopsida, Fabales, Fabaceae. The transcript has 3 exons.
CCUCUUUUCUGUUCCUCUCUCAAUCUCACGCAAAAAAAGAACAAACAGUAACGACAAAUCCUCCCUUUCUCUCUCGAUUUUGUUUCGGAACAGCAACAAUAAGAUCCUUCUUCUCUUAGUCUCACGAUGAUGAACAAUGGAAGAACACAACAUUCCUCCUCUCGACAACUCUCCUGGUUCUCCAUCGUUCAUGGCAACAACAACAAGAACUUCUCUUUCGAUUUCUCUCCCUACGAAACAACAACAACGGCGACAAAGCUCUCUCUCUGGUUUCUCUCUCGAACUCGCCGCUCACGGUCUCUCUCUUGCUGGGACGAAAACAAGAACAACAACGCCCUCUCUCUCAAAUUCUCACGGUGGCCAUGGGGAAGAGCUUUAGAGAUGGUAUACAAGAACUAACAACAACAGCAAGCAGUAUUUUUAAGAGUGAAGGUGGAAUCGGAUUACCUACGGCGAGGAGAUGUUCGCCGGAUUUUGCGUUUGAGCACUACUAACAGCCUUCAAAUUAUUCAAGUAGCCAUGGGAGCUCACAUCGACGAGAAUAACUUAUCGUAUAACCCGAUUUUUUCCAAGAACAGAGG